UACUGCUCAGUAACACGUCGAUAAUCUAACCUUAAGUUUGGGAUAGCCUUGGGAAACUGAGGGUAAUACCGAAUAGGGGAUUGAGGCUGGAAUGCACUUUCCCUUAAAGCUUCGGCGCUUAAGGAUGGGUCGGCGGCCGAUUAGGCAGUUGGUGAGGUAAUGGCUCACCAAACCUAAGAUCGGUAGGGGGGAUGAGAGUCCUAGCCCCGAGAAGGGCACUGAGAAAAGGGCCCUAGUCCUAAGGGAUGCAGCAGGCGGGAAACCUUUACACUACGCGUAAGCGUGAUAGGGGGAACCUAAGUGCUUGCCUUCAGGUAGGCUUUUGUCGAGUGUAAAUACCUCGACGAAUAAGUGGUGGGUAAGACCGGUGCCAGCAGCCGCGGUAAU
This 387-nucleotide ribosomal RNA is filed under the name uncultured archaeon. Its description in RNAcentral is "bacterial SSU rRNA". It matches the Rfam family "Archaeal small subunit ribosomal RNA", at positions 84 to 474 of the family's 1478-position model. The record is from RNAcentral.